Eriocheir sinensis (Chinese mitten crab) is the source of this 842-nucleotide long non-coding RNA. RefSeq lists it as uncharacterized. Lineage: Eukaryota; Metazoa; Arthropoda; Malacostraca; Decapoda; Varunidae. The transcript has 4 exons. The record is from RefSeq and is a predicted model, not a curated record.
GUUCACCUACCACCUUUAUCUUGGCAGUACCCAUAGAUCAACUAUAAAGAGCGGCACCACACACGCCGGAUUUCAAACUGAUUCAAACUGUCAUUGCCCAUCCGGUCGGCGAGGGACUGGAUUGGCUAGGGGGAGUCCAAUUAGGGGGAGUCCCUGCUUGAUGUUGGGGCCGCUCAUGGCGCCUCUCCGCGGUCACUGGUCAAGGCUGUGUCACUCUGUCACUGUCACCGAUGGAGGGAAGGAAUACGCCCCAGAAGAAGAGGAAGAAGUACAUACGUAUGCCUCAUUGGAUCGUGAGCCUCAGUUGAUAUAGAAGAAAUAAAACAAGAAUUAUAGAGAAGCUUGUGGACAAGGCGUUACUGAGACUUUGAAUCAUCAUGAACCACCUCCCGACGACCGCGAACCCAGCCAGUGUUGUGUAGUGUGUGUGACAGGACGCAGCGCUGGCCGUGGGCAAGUCUCCUCAGCAGAGUGUCGAGGUGCCUGGCAAGGGCUAGCUGCUCAUCCUCGGUGAUAGCGCAUACCUCUGGCCGCUCCUCCACAUCCCCCGUCUCCUCCUCCAUAUCCUCCUCCUCCUUAACCCCCUCGCCUUGCUCCAGCACUGGGAUCACCUUCUCCUCCUCCUUUUCUUCCUCCUCCUCUACCCUGAUGUCUGCCACCAACUGGGACUGAAAGAAGAGGAUGAGGAUGACUGGUCCGCCUUGGGGCUCAGCUGCUCGAUGGCUGGCGUGAAGUACGUCUCGAGGGCAGGAACGAAGUCACGCUCACUGAUCUUGCACGCCUCCAGGUUGUUGGGGUGAAGGUUCCACAGCCUCGUCAUCUCCGCACUGUGUGUUUGUGCG